Molecule: ribosomal RNA, 695 nt
Filed under: Trifarina earlandi
Lineage: Eukaryota; Foraminifera; Rotaliida; Uvigerinidae
Description: eukaryotic LSU rRNA
Rfam family: Eukaryotic large subunit ribosomal RNA
Source: RNAcentral
GAAACACGGACCAAGGAGUUCAACUGGAUUGCGAGUCGUAGAGAUUUUUUCACGAAACUCACUACCGGCGAAGCGAAAGCGAGACGGUGCGAAAUAAAAUAUACGUAUUUUAUUGCAGCACAGGCUGAUUACGGAUAUGCAUAGAGCUAGUCUGUGUGCAUACUUUUAUCAACUUAUACCGAUAAAAGACUAAUCAAGCUAGAGAGCACUUUAGUUGAGACCCGAAAGAUGGUGAACUUUGCCCGGACAUGGUGAAGCCAGGUGAAAACUUGGUGGAAGCUUGCGUUGUGCGGAACUGACGUGCAAAUCGUUGCCGCCUGAACUGGGUAAAGGGGCGAAAGACUCAUCGAACCAUCUAGUAGCUGGUUCCCUCCGAAGUUUCCCUUAGGAUAGCUCGAAUUUAUUUUGUUCACUUCUUUACGAAAGAGUAACACAAGGGUAAAGCAAUGAGACGCGGUAUCUGUGGGUCUUAUUUAAAUGACCUCGGCCUUCUCUCAAACUUUAAAUCUGUGCGAAUAUAUAUAUGCUUACUUAGAAUAAUACACAUUACGUUGUAUUAGCGAAGCUAUAUAUCGUAUCUAAAAUUCGUAGUGGGCCAUUUCUGGUAAGCAGAACUGGCGAUGAGGGAUUCAACCUGACGUUUUCAAGAUAAGCCGGGCUUAAUCAUAUCUGCUCCAACCUUCCGAUAAACGCGA